UCCGAGUUGACCCCGGCAGUCUCCCAUGAGUCCCCGGCAUUACCCGCUGGCAACAUGGAACGAGGGUUGCGCUCGUUGCGGGACUUAACCCAACAUCUCACGACACGAGCUGACGACAACCAUGCACCACCUGUAUAGGGCCCUUGCGGACCUGACAUCUCUGCCAGUUUUCCCUAUAUGUCAAGCCUUGGUAAGGUUCUUCGCGUUGCGUCGAAUUAAGCCACAUGCUCCGCCGCUUGUGCGGGCCCCCGUCAAUUCCUUUGAGUUUUAGCCUUGCGGCCGUACUCCCCAGGCGGGGCGCUUAAUGCGUUAGCUGCGGCACGGAGGACGUGGAAAGUCCCCCACACCUAGCGCCCAACGUUUACGGCGUGGACUAC
This 377-nucleotide unclassified non-coding RNA is filed under the name uncultured Frankiales bacterium. RNAcentral describes it as "contains 16S-23S intergenic spacer region". Lineage: Bacteria; Bacillati; Actinomycetota; Actinomycetes; Frankiales. The record is from RNAcentral.